RNAcentral lists this transfer RNA (75 nucleotides) under Betaproteobacteria bacterium. RNAcentral describes it as "tRNA-His". It matches the Rfam family "tRNA". From Rfam's summary of the family: Transfer RNA (tRNA) molecules are approximately 80 nucleotides in length. Lineage: Bacteria; Pseudomonadati; Pseudomonadota; Betaproteobacteria. The record is from RNAcentral. RNAcentral also lists the same sequence under 1 other name.
GUGACCGUAGCUCACAGGUAGAGUCCCGGAUUGUGAUUCCGGUUGUUGUGGGUUCGAGUCCCAUCGGUCACCCCA